CCUACGGGAGGCAGCAGUGGGGAAUAUUGCACAAUGGGGGGAACCCUGAUGCAGCGACGCCGCGUGAGUGAAGAAGUAUUUCGGUAUGUAAAGCUCUGUCAGCAGGGAAGAAGAAAGACGGUACCUGACCAAGAAGCCCCGGCUAACUACGUGCCAGCAGCCGCGGUAAUACGUAGGGGGCAAGCGUUAUCCGGAUUUACUGGGUGUAAAGGGAGCGUAGACGGCAGGGCAAGUCUGGAGUGAAAGGCAGGGGACCAACCCCUGGACUGCUCUGGAAACUGUCCGGCUGGAGUGCAGGAGAGGUAAGUGGAAUUCCUAGUGUAGCGGUGAAAUGCGUAGAUAUUAGGAGGAACACCAGUGGCGAAGGCGGCUUACUGGACUGUAACUGACGUUGAGGCUCGAAAGCGUGGGGAGCAAACAGGAUUAGAUACCCCGGUAGUC
Molecule: ribosomal RNA, 441 nt
Filed under: uncultured bacterium
Lineage: Bacteria
Description: partial 16S ribosomal RNA
Rfam family: Bacterial small subunit ribosomal RNA
Source: RNAcentral